This 274-nucleotide ribosomal RNA is filed under the name uncultured bacterium. Its description in RNAcentral is "partial 16S ribosomal RNA". It matches the Rfam family "Archaeal small subunit ribosomal RNA", at positions 473 to 747 of the family's 1478-position model. The record is from RNAcentral.
AAACCAGCACCUCAAGUGGUCAGGAUGAUUAUUGGGCCUAAAGCAUCCGUAGCCGGCUCUGUAAGUUUUCGGUUAAAUCUGUACGCUCAACGUACAGGCUGCUGGGAAUACUGCAAGGCUAGGGAGUGGGAGAGAUAGACGGUACUCGGGAGGAAGUGGUAAAAUGCUUUGAUCUCUCGAUGACCACCUGUGGCGAAGGCGGUCUACCAGAACACGUCCGACGGUGAGGGAUGAAAGCUGGGGGAGCAAACCGGAUUAGAAACCCCGGUAGUCC